RNAcentral lists this ribosomal RNA (452 nucleotides) under uncultured bacterium. RNAcentral's name for it is "bacterial SSU rRNA". It matches the Rfam family "Bacterial small subunit ribosomal RNA", at positions 340 to 786 of the family's 1533-position model. The record is from RNAcentral.
UACGGGAGGCAGCAGUGGGGAAUAUUGCACAAUGGGCGCAAGCCUGAUGCAGCCAUGCCGCGUGUAUGAAAAAGGCCUUCGGGUUGUAAAGUACUUUCAGUCGUGAGGAAGGUGUUAAGGUUAAUAACCUUAGCAAUUGACGUUAGCGACAGAAGAAGCACCGGCUAACUCCGUGCCAGCAGCCGCGGUAAUACGGAGGGUGCGAGCGUUAAUCGGAAUUACUGGGCGUAAAGGGCACGCAGGCGGUUAAUUAAGUUGGAUGUGAAAUCCCCGGGCUUAACCUGGGAAUGGCAUUCAAGACUGGUUAGCUAGAGUCUUGUAGAGGGGGUAGAAUUCCAUGUGUAGCGGUGAAAUGCGUAGAGAUGUGGAGGAAUACCGGUGGCGAAGGCGGCCCCUGGACAAAGACUGACGCUCAUGUGCGAAAGCUGGGGAGCAAACAGGGAUUAGAUACC